GGAAAAAAACACCCACGGGACAUUGAGGGGUUGGGAGAGGUUGGCAACGGGAAAGGACUUCUCCAUCUUCUCUGGUUUCAUCCACAGCGAUUGAGACACAAAAGCAAAGGAGGUUAUUCUGCCGCGUCCCCAACCCCGUAAGGAUGGAAGUGGAAGCCCCAGUUUACCCCGCUCCGUAACGACGCCAUGAUGGGGACGGAUGCAAGAGGACCCCACGCACUUCUCCUAAUUAAUUACACACAGCAAUCAGCACUUAUUAAUUUCUGCCUAUGGAGGUAACCAGGCGGAGUUUCUGCACGCUCCGAUGGGGCCCUGUUAUGGCGGGAGGUCACGUGAUCACCAAAAUACCAAAAUUUCCAAAUUUUGGUGGUCACGUGACCUCUGAAAUUUUAAAAUUGGAAAUUUAAGCGGAGAUAUCCGGCCUCAAAUUGCUGAGAAAAAAAAAUAACCAACCAAAAAAUGUUUUAUUUUGGGUUGUUUUGAUCCCCAAAGGACCCACCAACGCCGAGGGGAAGAAAUUGAAGUCAUCUGACCCAAAUCUCACCUCUUUUCCCCCAAAAAACCCUAUUUUCCUAUUGGAUGCCUCCAUUACGGCCCUGCCUCUGCUGUCACGUGACCACCAAGAUAUCAAAUCUCCAAAUUUUGGUGGUCACGUGACCUCUGAAAUUUUAAAAUUGGAAAUUUAAGCGGAGAUAUCCGGCCUCAAAUUGCUGAGGCA
This is a non-coding RNA of Meleagris gallopavo (turkey), 718 nucleotides long. The record is from RefSeq and is a predicted model, not a curated record. NCBI's taxonomy places the organism in Eukaryota, Metazoa, Chordata, Aves, Galliformes, Phasianidae.